UUGAAUUUGCCUUCUAAUUUUCAUAGUACAUACUUUUUCCGUGUACUAAGUAACUACGCAUGAAUGACCACAAGGGUAAGAUUUCAUUGUAUCGUAAUCAAGAUAUUAGAACAACAAUUGCUACUGGCUAUUUUGAAAAAAUUCUGUGUUCCAAAUUUAACUAAAUAGUUUGUAAUUAGUUUUCAAACAGAUUCUUAUCAUCCUACUAAUCGUCUUUUGAUCCAAUUUUUUUUUUUACAAUUAAAAGUUUCUUUCAUUAAAAUAAAGAGUAACACUUAUGGUUCUUUAUACCUUGAUUAAAAUACAACUCCAUCUAAAAUCUGUAAUCCUUUAUCUUCCAUGCAAUUACUUUGUACACAAAACGAGUCAACCAUGAAUCUUUUGAAGGGAAAUUAUUAAUAAAGCAAUUUGAUAUAUUUCGUCAUAAAUUGGUCGAUUAUUGGUUGCCUAAUGACCAGUGACAAAUAUUUCAUGAAUGUAAACUAUCCACUGGACUACCUAUGGGUACAUACCAGGGGCAGAUCCAGCCUUUUUUAAAAGGUGUUUCAACCAAAGAUUAAAAAAAUGUAUGGGAGGGGGAUCCAACUGUUUGUACUCAUUCAAAAGCAUUUUCAAUAUAGUUUUAGUUGUUACAUGAAUUUAAAAAAUGUUUUCAA
RNAcentral lists this long non-coding RNA (656 nucleotides) under Mytilus galloprovincialis (Mediterranean mussel). Lineage: Eukaryota; Metazoa; Mollusca; Bivalvia; Mytilida; Mytilidae. The record is from RNAcentral.